CAGCUUCAUAUUUUAUUUAGAAUAUUAACUUUGGGGGUUAAAGGUCUUUGCUUGAUUGAGUGAGCUGA
RNAcentral lists this transfer RNA (68 nucleotides) under Morishitium polonicum. RNAcentral describes it as "tRNA-Pro". The record is from RNAcentral. Lineage: Eukaryota; Metazoa; Platyhelminthes; Trematoda; Plagiorchiida; Cyclocoelidae.